GGCCCUAUAGCUCAGUUGGCAGAGCGUUUGCCUGUUAAGCAAAAUGUCGAAGGUUCGAGUCCUUCUGGGGCCG
This 73-nucleotide transfer RNA is filed under the name Eubacterium sp. Its description in RNAcentral is "tRNA-Asn". It matches the Rfam family "tRNA". Rfam says of the family: Transfer RNA (tRNA) molecules are approximately 80 nucleotides in length. Their secondary structure includes four short double-helical elements and three loops (D, anti-codon, and T loops). Lineage: Bacteria; Bacillati; Bacillota; Clostridia; Eubacteriales; Eubacteriaceae. The record is from RNAcentral.